GAGUUACGGUGGUUUAAAAAAAAAAAAAAAAAAAAAAAGUUCAUUUGUAACAUUUUGACAUUUUAUCACUAGGGGGCAGUCAUGAUCAACUCCUGAGUAUAUCCUACUACAACAAUGACAAUACAGAAAUCACACUGUGAGCGAUGAUGCGAGAGUAAACCAAAUCCCACUGGGUUACCUGCCGCUUCCACUGUUCGAUCUUUGCAGCUUCAUUUUCUGAAAAAA
This is a long non-coding RNA of Xiphophorus couchianus (Monterrey platyfish), 225 nucleotides long. RefSeq lists it as uncharacterized. Lineage: Eukaryota; Metazoa; Chordata; Actinopteri; Cyprinodontiformes; Poeciliidae. The record is from RefSeq and is a predicted model, not a curated record. The transcript has 2 exons.